Chaetoceros tenuissimus is the source of this 87-nucleotide non-coding RNA. The record is from the annotation of a GenBank genome assembly. NCBI's taxonomy places the organism in Eukaryota, Bacillariophyta, Thalassiosirophyceae, Chaetocerotales, Chaetocerotaceae.
GUGGUCAUGAUCUUGUCUGGUGAUGAGGGCAGGCUUCAAACCUGUGGCGGCUUGACGGCCGAGUUGUUCGAUUCAACCUUGACCACG